CGCCACAAACACUGCAGAGAGGUCCAGUUUAGUGACUCCAGUUAGCAGAAUGCAAUCGAAGACGUUUGAGCUUUGAGUUUUGACCUAAGUGGACCUUAGCAGACUCGCAAACCUGGAAAGUAGAAUUAAGCCUCAAUUUCAGCACUUGGUUCCAGCUCGUUCCACAUCGUCCAGUCGCCAGUUAUGGGUCUCUCCUGUCUUGGCACAAGCGGUGUAUCCAGCUGGAGCGGGCAGCUGUUUCCACCAAGACCCCACACUACCUUCCCACUGCCAAACAGCAGAUGGAUACGGCUUGCGGCUAGCUGCCACGCGUCACAUAAUGCAGCAGAAUUUGGCUCUGAAAAUGGAAAAUAAACUUUUGUACUGGAAGAAUCCGGAGACGAGCAUGUGAGGACUGCACUGAUGGCAGCACCCCUAAUCAUUAAAGUAUAAAGGUGCAGACGACAUAAGGUGCAGACGACAGGGAGGAUUGAAAUCACGUUCACCUUUAAACUGCUCAUAUAUCUCUUUAGAAUAAUGUUGUUUUUUUUCUUAUUUUCACCGUUUUUUGCACUACCCUUAAACCAAUACAUAAUUCUGGAUAUGGAACAUGUAAUCAUAAAUAGAUAAAUAAAUAAUAUGACAGCCUGUUUG
Molecule: long non-coding RNA, 633 nt
Organism: Maylandia zebra (zebra mbuna)
Lineage: Eukaryota; Metazoa; Chordata; Actinopteri; Cichliformes; Cichlidae
Source: RefSeq, a predicted model, not a curated record